GACGAACGCUGGCGGCGUGCCUAAUACAUGCAAGUAGAACGCUGAAGGCGGAGCUUGCUUCUCUGGAUGAGUUGCGAACGGGUGAGUAACGCGUAGGUAACCUGCCUGGUAGCGGGGGAUAACUAUUGGAAACGAUAGCUAAUACCGCAUAAUAGUAGAUGUUGCAUGACAUUUGCUUAAAGGUGCAAUUGCAUCACUACCAGAUCGACCUGCGUUGUAUUAGCUAGUUGGUGGGGUAACGGCCCACCAAGGCGACGAUACAUAACCGACCGGAGAGGGUGAUCGGCCACCCUGGGACUGUGACAAGACCCAGAGGCAUACGGGAGGCGGCAGUAGGGUAUCUUCGGCAAGGGACGGAAGUCUGACCGAGCAACGCCGCGUGAGUGAAGAACGGUUUCGGAUCGUGAAGCACUGUUGUAAGAGAAGAAAGAGUGUGAGAGUGGAAAGUUCACAAUGUGACGGUAACUUACCAGAAAGGGACGGCUAACUACGUG
RNAcentral lists this ribosomal RNA (494 nucleotides) under uncultured bacterium. RNAcentral describes it as "partial 16S ribosomal RNA". It matches the Rfam family "Bacterial small subunit ribosomal RNA", at positions 28 to 507 of the family's 1533-position model. The record is from RNAcentral.